This 234-nucleotide unclassified non-coding RNA is filed under the name Hevea brasiliensis (rubber tree). Lineage: Eukaryota; Viridiplantae; Streptophyta; Magnoliopsida; Malpighiales; Euphorbiaceae. The record is from RNAcentral.
GCUGCAGGAGUGGCGGGUGGUGGAGCUGACGGGGUAGCAGGAGGAGGAGCUGCUGGAGUAGAUGGAGGAGGAGCAGCCGGAGUGGCGGGGGGGGGGGGGGGCGGGGGGGGGGGGGUCAAAUCUUCGUUCGUUGCCCUCGCGGUAGACGGAGGAGGCGCGGUGGUGUUAGUCGACGGCGGAGACGUGGGAGUAGGAGCUGACAUUUUUCACGGAACAGCUAAAUUUUUUUUUUUU